ACGUAUGUUUGAAGGGGUUUGAUGCUGGUCUUCCCACAAAGGGGAGACAUUGUGCGCACCCCCUCACCUUCUAAUCCCACACACCUUUGUGCACCAUGGUGGUGGCAUUUCCCACCCCAUUCCCACACACCUAUCCCUGUCACAAUGCAUGUCUUGAUGGCUCCACGGAGUUAUAAUACAUAUA
This 184-nucleotide unclassified non-coding RNA is filed under the name uncultured Ramaria. Its description in RNAcentral is "sequence contains ITS1". Lineage: Eukaryota; Fungi; Basidiomycota; Agaricomycetes; Gomphales; Gomphaceae. The record is from RNAcentral.